GACGAACCGAGCGAACGUUGUUCGGAAUCACUGGGCUUAAAGGGCGCGUAGGCGGGUGCUCAAGUCCGGGGUGAAAUCCUCCAGCUCAACUGGAGAACUGCCUCGGAUACUGGGUGCCUCGAGGGUGGUAGGGGUAUGCGGAACUAUCGGUGGAGCGGUGAAAUGCGUUGAUAUCGAUAGGAACUCCGGUGGCGAAGGCGGCAUACUGGACCACAUCUGACGCUGAGGCGCGAAAGCCAGGGGAGCAAACGGG
This 253-nucleotide ribosomal RNA is filed under the name uncultured bacterium. RNAcentral's name for it is "partial 16S ribosomal RNA". It matches the Rfam family "Bacterial small subunit ribosomal RNA", at positions 524 to 776 of the family's 1533-position model. The record is from RNAcentral. RNAcentral also lists the same sequence under 2 other names.